GGUGAAUGUAGCUCAGCAGGUUAGAGCGCCAGAUUGUGGUUCUGGAAGUCGCCGGUUCGAACCCGGUCUUUCACCC
RNAcentral lists this transfer RNA (76 nucleotides) under Bacteroidales bacterium. RNAcentral's name for it is "tRNA-His". It matches the Rfam family "tRNA". From Rfam's summary of the family: Transfer RNA (tRNA) molecules are approximately 80 nucleotides in length. Their secondary structure includes four short double-helical elements and three loops (D, anti-codon, and T loops). Lineage: Bacteria; Pseudomonadati; Bacteroidota; Bacteroidia; Bacteroidales. RNAcentral also lists the same sequence under 1 other name. The record is from RNAcentral.